Molecule: ribosomal RNA, 279 nt
Filed under: uncultured bacterium
Lineage: Bacteria
Description: partial 16S ribosomal RNA
Rfam family: Bacterial small subunit ribosomal RNA
Source: RNAcentral
UGCCAGCCGCCGCGGUAAUACAUAGGGGUCAAGCGUUGUCCGGAUUUAUUGGGCGUAAAGCGCGCGUAGGUGGUCUGUUAAGUCGGAUGUGAAAGCCCCGGGCUCAACCUGGGAACUGCAUUCGAUACUGGCAGACUAGAGCGCGAGAGAGGGAGGUAGAAUUCCAUGUGUAGCGGUGAAAUGCGUAGAUAUGUGGAGGAAUACCAGUGGCGAAGGCGGCCUCCUGGCUCGACACUGACACUGAGGUGCGAAAGCGUGGGGAGCAAACAGGAUUAGAUA